AAGUCGUAACAAGGUCUCCGUAGGUGAACCUGCGGAGGGAUCAUUAACACGUUUUUUUAAACGUUUUUCAACCAAAAAACAGGAAACGAAUAAGGUUUGAAAUGAGUUCAACUGUUGAACCACAGUUUGACAGUUGUUCUUAUUUCUCCCUUUUUUUCUUCUCAACCCUUUUCCAAUUAAAUAAUGAAUUGACCUGUAUCAUACUCAUCCUUCUUAUAAUGAUGUUUAUGUUGAUAUCUAAUAUAUGAGCACAACUCUUAGCAACGGAUAUCUUGGUUCUC
RNAcentral lists this unclassified non-coding RNA (281 nucleotides) under fungal sp. RNAcentral describes it as "partial internal transcribed spacer region". The stretch from base 1 to 46 matches the Rfam family "Eukaryotic small subunit ribosomal RNA", at positions 1786 to 1831 of the family's 1831-position model. The record is from RNAcentral. Lineage: Eukaryota; Fungi.